Molecule: long non-coding RNA, 1615 nt
Organism: Aquila chrysaetos chrysaetos
Lineage: Eukaryota; Metazoa; Chordata; Aves; Accipitriformes; Accipitridae
Exons: 3
Source: RefSeq, a predicted model, not a curated record
CUCCGCCCCCCGGGGCCGCGCUGCCCCGGCGCCGCCUUCCCUGAGGGGAAAAAAAUGGUAGCCAGGCCAAAGUGCAGAAAAGGUAAAGGAGUCAAGACAAGGAACUUGGUGGUACGUCAACUCUGCAAACCAGGUGAAUACCACAAGCGGUCUUGGUCUGAGCCGCUUGGAGCUCCUCCAAGGAGCACAGGUCACUGUUCCAGGUAGGCCACCUACCAGUCAAGUUACCCUGGGGAAUGGAAUAUUCAACAUUGAAAAAAGAUACCAUUCCUGAAGCAAAAAAAUUAUCUUCGAUAUGAAUUUGCAACUGCAGAUUUGUGACAAAUAAAGUUAAAUACAGUGUCACUGAGACAAAUUCACUGCAGAUAGUGAGGCACUGGACAGAGAUUUUAAAGGUCUCUUUUUUAAAAAAAAUACUUUCAGAAUCUUGGCAAACCAAGGUCUAGUCCCAGCAACACAGACACAGCUUGCAUGAGUAAAAUUGUACCCAGGCUAGCAAAGUAUGGCGCAGCAAGCUAAACUCCAUGGCCUUUGAAACCGAAGUCUGAAGUUUGCUGCUUGCAGCCAUCUCUAAGUGCAUACACCUUUUUCCUUUUUUGAUUUUUGUUUCUGUGUUGACUCUGACUCAUCCUAGUUACAUGCAAGCCUCGUUUUCACUUCUGCCCUUUCUGUCCUGCAUCUUACACUGCCACUUUACCAGUGGUACAGCGUGCUUCACAGGUAUUUAAUUAAUGUGUCUUCACAGCUGCCCUUUAUCCCCAUUUUGCAGACAUGCAACUAAAACCCAUGAAAGAAAUCUGAGAUUACACUAGAAAUUCCAUUCUUAACAAUGAAUGUCCCUGUCUAACAUACCAAGCACCUUCCCAGUCUACUAUAUGUUUGGGUUUGCCAAGUGGCCUAUAUCAUGUCUGGAAAUGUGAUUUGGGUGAAAUUUAGAGGCUGACUAGGACUUUCUUCAGACAGGACAGCAGCAUUAGCUCUUGCUGGGACCCUGAAAAUCUUGCACGCUGCCACUGCGCAUGCUAAAAUCUCCUGUACAGAUCUGAGUACAGUAAAUCUGACUGUAUGAUGUGGCCCAGUGUACCACUGAACAACAAACAUCUAAAUUGCCAUGGUGGAUAUAUGGAGAAGAAUUAGGGCACACUGAAUGCUGCCCUACUCUGGCAUGACCACUGAAACUAUAGGCUAGUCUGGUUACAAUGACCUUCACUUAGGUUUAGGCCCCUAAUUUAUCUUUGAGAUUGGGUCUUAGGUUCUAAAGUAGGCGAUCCAGAUGAUUAAAUGUGAGUGUGUACCUAAUUAUGCAGAUAGCAUCCAAUAGGACUUAAAAGGCAGAAUGCUCCAUUUAUUUUUUUUUUUAAACUUUAACAGAAUUUUCUCAGCAUCACACAUUAGGAACCUGUAUCUGCCUUCAGGCACUUUGUAAACUUCUAACCUAAGUAAAGGAAUUUGCUUUGACUACAACCUAUAUUGAAAACUUUAGUAAGACAAGGCACAUCUCCCAGUGGCUUCCUGUGAAAAGGCCUAUUAGCUCAGUAAUAGAGGUUAUUAAAAUGUUGAUAAUUUAAAUGCAUUAUUACACCUGUAUACUUUUUGUGAACAUUUGUGCUAAUAA